UCCCUGAGAAUUCUCGAACAGCUUCAAAGUGUUCAAGCUGUCGAGUUUUGUCAAGGACC
Molecule: microRNA precursor, 59 nt
Filed under: Caenorhabditis elegans
Lineage: Eukaryota; Metazoa; Nematoda; Chromadorea; Rhabditida; Rhabditidae
Description: Cel-Mir-10-P3n_pre stem-loop
Source: RNAcentral